GGGAAGCCUGGAGAGUGGGGACCCCUGGGAUCCCCAGGACAACAAGGUGGAGAACCUGGAGAGGGGGAAUGUCUGGGAAGGCGGCACCCCAAAGGAUUUGUCUUUUCCAAAGCUUGGGCGGAUGGACGAGGAGGCUGCGAGGAAGUUGCUGCGGGUCCCCCAGGCAGGCCCCGAGCUGAGGA
This is a long non-coding RNA of Empidonax traillii (willow flycatcher), 182 nucleotides long. RefSeq lists it as uncharacterized. NCBI's taxonomy places the organism in Eukaryota, Metazoa, Chordata, Aves, Passeriformes, Tyrannidae. The record is from RefSeq and is a predicted model, not a curated record. The transcript is spliced from 3 exons.